This 500-nucleotide ribosomal RNA is filed under the name uncultured bacterium. Its description in RNAcentral is "bacterial SSU rRNA". It matches the Rfam family "Bacterial small subunit ribosomal RNA", at positions 388 to 902 of the family's 1533-position model. The record is from RNAcentral.
GGAGCAUACCGCGUGAGGGAUGACGGCCUAUGGGUUGUAAACCUCUUUUUUCAGGGAGGAAUAAAUGACGUGUACCUGAAGAAUAAGCAUCGGCUAACUCCGUGCCAGCAGCCGCGGUAAGACGGAGGAUGCAAGUGUUAUCCGGAAUCACUGGGCGUAAAGCGUCUGUAGGUGGUUUAAUAAGUCAACUGUUAAAUCUUGAGGCUCAACCUCAAAAUCGCAGUCGAAACUGUUAGACUAGAGUAUAGUAGGGGUAAAGGGAAUUUCCAGUGGAGCGGUGAAAUGCGUAGAGAUUGGAAGGAACACCGAUGGCGAAGGCACUUUACUGGGCUAUUACUAACACUCAGAGACGAAAGCUAGGGUAGCAAAUGGGAUUAGAUACCCCAGUAGUCCUAGCUGUAAACAAUGGAUACUAGAUGUUGAACAGAUCGACCUGUGCAGUAUCAAAGCUAACGCGUUAAGUAUCCCGCCUGGGAAGUAUGCUCGCAAGAGUGAAACUC